AUUGAACGCUGGCGGCAUGCCUUACACAUGCAAGUCGAACGGUAGCAGGUCUUCGGAUGCUGACGAGUGGCGAACGGGUGAGUAAUACAUCGGAACGUGCCCGAUCGUGGGGGAUAACGCAGCGAAAGCUGUGCUAAUACCGCAUACGAUCUACGGAUGAAAGCGGGGGAUCUUCGGACCUCGCGCGGACGGAGCGGCCGAUGGCAGAUUAGGUAGUUGGUGGGGUAAAGGCUAACCAAGCCUGCGAUCUGUAGCUGGUCUGAGAGGACGACCAGCCACACUGGGACGGAGACACGGCCCAGACUCCUACGGGAGGCAGCAGUGGGGAAUUUUGGACAAUGGGCGCAAGCCUGAUCCAGCCAUGCCGCGUGCAGGAUGAAGGCCUUCGGGUUGUAAACUGCUUUUGUACGGAACGAAAAGUCUCUUUUUAAUAAAGAGGGAUCAUGACGGUACCGUAAGAAUAAGCACCGGCUAACUACGUGCCAGCAGCCGCUGUAA
Molecule: ribosomal RNA, 498 nt
Filed under: uncultured bacterium
Lineage: Bacteria
Description: partial 16S ribosomal RNA
Rfam family: Bacterial small subunit ribosomal RNA
Source: RNAcentral